UUGCAUGGUGUUCUGGGAAAGCCUUUGCGGCAUGGGAUGGGGUCGCGUCCUAUCAGCUUGAUGGCGGGGUAACGGCCCACCAUGGCUUCGACGGGUAGCCGGCCUGAGAGGGCGACCGGCCACAUUGGGACUGAGAUACGGCCCAGACUCCUACGGGAGGCAGCAGUGGGGAAUAUUGCACAAUGGGCGCAAGCCUGAUGCAGCGACGCCGCGUGAGGGAUGGAGGCCUUCGGGUUGUAAACCUCUUUUGUUAGGGAGCAAGGCACUUUGUGUUGAGUGUACCUUUCGAAUAAGCACCGGCUAACUACGUGCCAGCAGCCGCGGUAAUACGUAGGGUGCAAGCGUUAUCCGGAAUUAUUGGGCGUAAAGGGCUCGUAGGCGGUUCGUCGCGUCCGGUGUGAAAGUCCAUCGCUUAACGGUGGAUCCGCGCCGGGUACGGGCGGGCUUGAGUGCGGUAGGGGAGACUGGAAUUCCCGGUGUAACGGUGGAAUGUGUAGAUAUCGGGAAAGAACACCA
This 516-nucleotide ribosomal RNA is filed under the name Bifidobacterium breve. RNAcentral's name for it is "bacterial SSU rRNA". It matches the Rfam family "Bacterial small subunit ribosomal RNA", at positions 186 to 711 of the family's 1533-position model. Lineage: Bacteria; Bacillati; Actinomycetota; Actinomycetes; Bifidobacteriales; Bifidobacteriaceae. The record is from RNAcentral.